CUAGUGCCCCCACCCAGGAGGUUUGCUGUGGCACCCUAAGGGUCUGGAUAUGGGCCAGGAAGGAAGGAAGGGAAAGAGCCAUGCCUGUGUGCUUCAGUCUUUGGCCUCCUCACAGUUGUUUAGGAAGAGCAAGCUUUGAGAACAUCUGGGAGUCCAACCCCCUGUCCCCAUCCUGACCCCUGCAUUCGGGACUGUUGGAUCCACUCUGGGACGGAUCACUCCUAGGCCCAACUGCUGGCCUCCUGACUCUAACGCCUUCACUGGAACUGGGACAUUCGUUCCAGCCCUAGCUGUGAACAUGACCAGAGACAUUAUUUAUAACUCAGCCAUUUAAGAUAUACCUGUACUCAAAAAAGUCUUGUAUAUUUUUUAAAAGUUUUAUUUUUCAGGUGAACAAAAAUACAUUCUAAGAACUCUACGUAA
Myotis brandtii (Brandt's bat) is the source of this 423-nucleotide long non-coding RNA. RefSeq lists it as uncharacterized. The transcript has 2 exons. NCBI's taxonomy places the organism in Eukaryota, Metazoa, Chordata, Mammalia, Chiroptera, Vespertilionidae. The record is from RefSeq and is a predicted model, not a curated record.